AUGUUGGCCAGGCUGGUCUCGAAUUCCCGACCUCAAGUGAUCUGCCCGCCUCGGCCUCCCGAAGUGCUGCAAUUACAGGCGUGAGCCACCGCGCCCGGCCCAGAAACAUGUUUUGAAGGGCAGGCACCGCACAGGGUGCUGGAGACAGACUGAAGGAAACUGCACCUCUCAGUGACUCAAGAGAGAUUUGUUGAGUAUCUACCAAGUGCCUAGCGCUGUUCUUGUCCCUGGGGAUUCAGCCUCUGGAUUGGGACCUGCAGCCCAGAGAAGGGAAAUGGGGGAAAUCCAAGUUCCCAGGUACAUCAUGAUACCCUUCCAGCCUCUCCUUCCUGGAAAUUGCCAUCACCAGCGGCCAUAGCACCCCCAUGGGACCUGGGGGAUGGAGUUGGAAGCCCCCUCCGGCAACACUGGCCAGAUUGGAGAGACCAGCAGGGAAGCUCCCUCCUACCCCCAGGGAGGCUGAAGCCAGCUCUCCAUGGGCACGAAACCUGGAACCCAGGACCCUGGGGGGCAGGGCUAUGCUGGACUAGAGAAGACACAGGUGGCCAAAGCUGGACCCAGCCCUCAGGGAACAGAUAACCUGCGUGAGAAACAAAUAAUUGAUUCUGCCCUUUAUCCCUCCCGGGCCAGCACGGAGGGGUUCAGCCAAUGACUGGGAAUUGAAUGAAAAACCAAAGAGAACAGCCAUGAGAUCUGUCUGCUAUGGGUGGGAAAGCAGAUGGGAGAGUGAGAAGGGCUUCAAGGAGAAGGUGAUAUGUGAACAGGGCAUAAAUGGAUGAAUAGGAGUUUGCCAGGCACAGAAAGGGAAGGACAUUCCAGGGGAAGCAGGCAGAGGCCUGGCAAGGCAAAGGCCAGGAGGAUUGCAAGUAAAGUCAUGGUAUGAGCAGAAAACAAGAGAGGUCCAGUUGCCCAUGGCAUAGGAGAGGGGACAGGCCAAGAGGGUAGUGGGUAAGCACUGUUUUCCCUGCCCAGCAUCCAUCUCUCACUCUGGUGACUGUCCCUCAGUUUUCUAGUCUCCAGUGUGACUGGCCCCCAACCCUCAAGCUCUAAAAGUGGGUUUGAGUCCUGUGCCUAGCCAGUCUGAGUCAUGGGAAUGGCUCCAGCAUAUGACAUCAGAGAGCAUCAGCCCAGGAACUUGAUGGGACUGUUAGGGUCACAAAUGUCAAGAUGCCAGCCCAGAGCUGCUGGUGGCCAGCUCUGCCACCCUAAGGGGGGAGCCUGCCUAAGAAUAAGGCCAACAUAGAAGAAAACAGCACCAAGAGAAUGAAUCUCAAUGACAUUGCCUGUGCUCCUGGAUCCAGUCAUGCCUGAAGCAGUUUCUAUUCUACGAGCCAACAAAUUCCAGUUUUGGCUUAAUACAGUUAGGGUUGGGUCUGUCACUUGCCACUGAGAAUGAAGGGCCCAUUGCAGAAUAGCUAAAGGCAGGUGAUCACUCAUGAGAGUUGCCGAGUGCUGUGGGAAAGGCAACGAUGAUCUGUGUGUAGAGGUACAACACCAUCAGAACUGCAUUUUCUUUCAUUUAAAUUACUUUUUGAGGCCGGGUGCGGUGGCUCACGCCUGUAAUCCCAGCACUUUGGGA
Molecule: long non-coding RNA, 1579 nt
Filed under: Homo sapiens (human)
Lineage: Eukaryota; Metazoa; Chordata; Mammalia; Primates; Hominidae
Description: HSALNT0363243
Source: RNAcentral